This 1036-nucleotide long non-coding RNA is filed under the name Gadus morhua (Atlantic cod). RNAcentral's name for it is "lncRNA (ENSGMOG00000031850.1)". Lineage: Eukaryota; Metazoa; Chordata; Actinopteri; Gadiformes; Gadidae. The record is from RNAcentral.
AUUUGAGCUGUCCUCACAGGUAGGCUGCUUAACGCAUUAGUGGAUGAACUGCAUUCCAAUGUCCACACAAAGACAAUGCAAUAUAAAACUACAAGGAAGAACACAACCAUCUGAAUCACUUCCACGUAGCUGGGCACAUUUGGUUGGUUUUAUUGGAAGUUCAUUUUUUUCCGUCCAGGUGUCACUUCAACAAACACACACAAUCAACCAGCUCAGCUGUCAUCAAUCACAUGAUGGCUGUGUGCAGACUUUUUUUUGGUUUAAAGAAAUAUCGAUUGUGAGGGACGUUACCUAAUACUUUUGUGAAGAACACAACAUAUAACACGUUGAGGAGAAGAUAAAGAAAUUAACUAGAGAGAGGGUGAAACGCAGGGCUUGUUGAAGGUGACCCACAUACAUAUAUAUACGAAGCGGCUGCUGCUGUGAGCGAAAGAUAUCGAACAGCUAAUUGCUAAAAUAAGCGUAUGACCUAGAAAAUUGGCCUUAGUCGGACAUAAGGAAGAGAGUGUAGUAGCCGUAGAAGAGGAUGACGAUGCUUGAGAAGAGGCCAGCCGCACUUGGGACCACGGAGCACAUCGAGAUGGAGAUCUUCGCCUCGGAAGAGUCUCGCGCCGUGGUCUCCGUACAUGAUACCGAGGAGGGCUACUUCGGCUACUAUAGGCACCUAGAGCAUCCUCUGGUGUCCGUUUCUGAAGAGGAGUACCUAGAGGCCCAGGUCCAGAGCCCAGCUGAACAGCAAUUCAAGCUGAAGAGAGUGCUUUCUGUCGGGACAGAGGACUUGGAUGACUGCCCCCUGAUUCCAGACUUAAAGGAGGACAUGGAGAUUGAAAUGGAGGAAUUCCCUCCCUUCAACACGCCCGAGAGUGAGCAAGUAUUAAAAACAUCAGCCCUCCCUUCCUUCAAAACACUAACACAGUGGGCCCCGGAAUGUGCCCUGGAUGAGUUCUAAUGGUUGUGAUUCAUUAUUUAAGUUUGAACUGUUUGUCAAAGGGAUACUUCACCGUUACAGAACCGGCGUUGUAUCAUUAUAAAAUUG